Molecule: non-coding RNA, 108 nt
Organism: Cryptococcus sp. DSM 104549
Lineage: Eukaryota; Fungi; Basidiomycota; Tremellomycetes; Tremellales; Cryptococcaceae
Source: the annotation of a GenBank genome assembly
GCCUUCUUAGUUUAGUUGGUUAUAACACCCCACUAGUAACAUCAAGUCGACCCUCAACGGUCACAGUUUCUAAUGGGGAGGUCAGUCGUUCGAAUCGGCUAGAAGGCA